AGUGAACGCUGGCGGUAGGCCUAACACAUGCAAGUCGAACGGCAGCACAGUAAGAGCUUGCUCUUACGGGUGGCGAGUGGCGGACGGGUGAGGAAUACAUCGGAAUCUACUUUUUCGUGGGGGAUAACGUAGGGAAACUUACGCUAAUACCGCAUACGACCUACGGGUGAAAGCAGGGGAUCUUCGGACCUUGCGCGAUUGAAUGAGUCGAUGUCGGAUUAGCUAGUUGGCGGGGUGAAGGCCCACCAAGGCGACGAUCCGUAGCUGGUCUGAGAGGAUGAUCAGCCACACUGGAACUGAGACACGGUCCAGACUCCUACGGGAGGCAGCAGUGGGGAAUAUUGGACAAUGGGCGCAAGCCUGAUCCAGCCAUACCGCGUGGGUGAAGAAGGCCUUCGGGUUGUAAAGCCCUUUUGUUGGGAAAGAAAAGCAGCAGGUUAAUACCCCGCUGUUCUGACGGUACCCAAAGAAUAAGCACCGGCUAACUUCGUG
This 492-nucleotide ribosomal RNA is filed under the name uncultured bacterium. RNAcentral describes it as "partial 16S ribosomal RNA". It matches the Rfam family "Bacterial small subunit ribosomal RNA", at positions 29 to 507 of the family's 1533-position model. The record is from RNAcentral.